GCACCCGUAGCUCAGCUGGAUAGAGCAUCAGCUUGCGGAGCUGGAGGUCACACGUUCGAAUCGUGUCGGGUGCA
This 74-nucleotide transfer RNA is filed under the name Candidatus Jacksonbacteria bacterium. RNAcentral describes it as "tRNA-Arg". It matches the Rfam family "tRNA". Rfam says of the family: Transfer RNA (tRNA) molecules are approximately 80 nucleotides in length. Their secondary structure includes four short double-helical elements and three loops (D, anti-codon, and T loops). The record is from RNAcentral. Lineage: Bacteria; Candidatus Jacksoniibacteriota.